GCGUCCGUAGCUCAGUUGGAUAGAGUAGCUGGCUUCGAACCAGUUGGCCGGGAGUUCGAAUCUCUCCGGGCGCACCA
This 77-nucleotide transfer RNA is filed under the name Pseudomonadota bacterium. RNAcentral's name for it is "Proteobacteria bacterium tRNA-Arg". It matches the Rfam family "tRNA". From Rfam's summary of the family: Transfer RNA (tRNA) molecules are approximately 80 nucleotides in length. Their secondary structure includes four short double-helical elements and three loops (D, anti-codon, and T loops). The record is from RNAcentral. Lineage: Bacteria; Pseudomonadati; Pseudomonadota.